GCCUGGGUGGCUCAGUCCGUUAAGCGUCCGACUUCCGCUCAGGUCACGACCUCGUGGUCCGUGGGUUCGAGCCCCGCUUCGGGCU
Molecule: transfer RNA, 85 nt
Filed under: Felis catus (domestic cat)
Lineage: Eukaryota; Metazoa; Chordata; Mammalia; Carnivora; Felidae
Rfam family: tRNA
About the family: Transfer RNA (tRNA) molecules are approximately 80 nucleotides in length. Their secondary structure includes four short double-helical elements and three loops (D, anti-codon, and T loops).
Source: Rfam by way of RNAcentral